GGGGGGGGGGGGGGGGGGGGGGGGGGGGGGGAGGGGGGGGGGUGGAGGGGGGGCGUGCGGGUGGGGGGGAGGGGCGAGCGGGGGAGUAGCGCGUAGGUAACCUGCCUGGGAGCGGGGGGUAACGAGUGGAAACGAUAGCUAAUACCGCAGAAUAGCAGUUGUUGCAUGACAACUGUGUGACAGGUGCAAUUGCACCACUACCAGGUGGACCUGCGGUUUAUUCGAUAGUUGGUGGGGUAACGGCUCACCAAGGCGACGAUACAUAGCCGACCUAAGAGGGGGAUCGGCGACACUGUGACUGAGACACGGCCCAGACUCCUACGGGAGGCCGCAGUAGGGAAUCUUCGGCAAUGGACGGAAGUCUUACCGAGCAGAGCCGCGUGCGUGAAUGAGGUCUGCGGAUCGUAAAGAUCUGUUGUAAGAGAAGAACGAGUGUGAGAGUGGAAAGUUCACACUGUGACGGUAUCUUACCAGAAAGGGACGGCUAACUACGUG
This 495-nucleotide ribosomal RNA is filed under the name uncultured bacterium. RNAcentral describes it as "partial 16S ribosomal RNA". It matches the Rfam family "Bacterial small subunit ribosomal RNA", at positions 38 to 507 of the family's 1533-position model. The record is from RNAcentral.